GUGCCGUGCCUGCCACAGCAAGUGGGCAGCCCUGUGCUGUUAGUUCUCUGCCUUUGUCCUGCAGUGGUGCAGUUUGUCCUCUGUUUGGUUGCCAUGGAGCUGUGCUUGUGAUCGCCUUCCUAGGAUGUGGUGCUGUGAGAUAUUUGCACUUCCUUCGCCUGCUGCCCUGCUGAGCAGAUGCCACCCUUUGGGGAAGGAAAUGGCCAGCUGCCCCCAGAUUCUCUGAAAGAAGUUGGACUACCCACCAAGACCACAUAGAGAGUCAAUUAGAGGUAAAGGAAGGUCAUAUGGAAAGAAGAGACUCUGAGACUACACAGAGAAAGAGAACUCCAACCAUCCUACCUUGCCAAUUGAGCCCAGCACCAAUGGAUGGUCCAGCUGAAAGCACCCACACAGCUACCAGGAGGUGAGCAACUUCUUCUACCACAUGCUUCCAUUUUGAUGUACUAAUUCACCAUUGGCCCCUUGGGGCAAGAAGGCCAAUGGACCAUGGAGUAAAAAUCAGAG
Castor canadensis (American beaver) is the source of this 507-nucleotide long non-coding RNA. RefSeq lists it as uncharacterized. The record is from RefSeq and is a predicted model, not a curated record. NCBI's taxonomy places the organism in Eukaryota, Metazoa, Chordata, Mammalia, Rodentia, Castoridae.